RNAcentral lists this ribosomal RNA (252 nucleotides) under uncultured bacterium. Its description in RNAcentral is "partial 16S ribosomal RNA". It matches the Rfam family "Bacterial small subunit ribosomal RNA", at positions 524 to 776 of the family's 1533-position model. The record is from RNAcentral.
UACAGAGGUCCCAAGCGUUGUUCGGAUUCAUUGGGCGUAAAGGGUGCGUAGGUGGCGCUGUAAGUGGGGUGUGAAAUCCCGGGGCUUAACCCCGGGACUGCAUUCCAUACUGCGGUGCUUGAGGACUGGAGAGGAGACUGGAAUUUACGGUGUAGCAGUGAAAUGCGUAGAGAUCGUAAGGAAGACAGUGGCGAAGGCGGGUCUCUGGACAGUUCCUGACACUGAGGCACGAAGGCCAGGGGAGCAAACGGG